Molecule: ribosomal RNA, 419 nt
Filed under: bacterium
Lineage: Bacteria
Description: partial 16S ribosomal RNA
Rfam family: Bacterial small subunit ribosomal RNA
Source: RNAcentral
UGGGGGAUAUUGCACAAUGGGCGAAAGCCUGAUGCAGCGACGCCGCGUGGGGGAUGAAGGCCUUCGGGUUGUAAACUUCUUUUGCUCUGAACAAGGCAUGCUAAUGGGUGUGUUGAGUGUAGGGGUUGAUUAGCGCCGGCUAACUACGUGCCAGCAGCCGCGGUAAUACGUAGGGCGCGAGCGUUGUCCGGAAUUAUUGGGCAUAAAGGGCUUGUAGGUGGCUGGUUGCGUCUGUCGUGAAAGCUCAUGGCUUAACUGUGGGUUUGCGGUGGGUACGGGCUGGCUUGAGUGCAGUAGGGGAGGCUGGAAUUCCUGGUGUAGCGGUGGAAUGCGCAGAUAUCAGGAGGAAUACCGGUGGCGAAGGCGGGUCUCUGGGCUGUUACUGACACUGAGGAGCGAAAGCAUGGGGAGCGAACAGG